AUCAGAAGUGCGAAUGCUGACAUAAGUAACGAUAAAGCGGGUGAAAAGCCCGCUCGCCGGAAGACCAAGGGUUCCUGUCCAACGUUAAUCGGGGCAGGGUGAGUCGACCCCUAAGGCGAGGCCGAAAGGCGUAGUCGAUGGGAAACAGGUUAAUAUUCCUGUACUUGGUGUUACUGCGAAGGGGGGACGGAGAAGGCUAUGUUAGCCGGGCGACGGUUGUCCCGGUUUAAGCAUGUAGGCUGGUUAUCCAGGCAAAUCCGGAUAAUCAA
This 269-nucleotide ribosomal RNA is filed under the name Klebsiella quasipneumoniae subsp. similipneumoniae. RNAcentral describes it as "partial 23S ribosomal RNA". It matches the Rfam family "Bacterial large subunit ribosomal RNA", at positions 1281 to 1553 of the family's 2925-position model. RNAcentral also lists the same sequence under 1 other name. The record is from RNAcentral. Lineage: Bacteria; Pseudomonadati; Pseudomonadota; Gammaproteobacteria; Enterobacterales; Enterobacteriaceae.